RNAcentral lists this ribosomal RNA (488 nucleotides) under uncultured bacterium. RNAcentral's name for it is "partial 16S ribosomal RNA". It matches the Rfam family "Bacterial small subunit ribosomal RNA", at positions 28 to 507 of the family's 1533-position model. The record is from RNAcentral.
GACGAACGCUGGCGGCGUGCUUAACACAUGCAAGUCGAACGGAAAGGCCCUGCUUUUGUGGGGUGCUCGAGUGGCGAACGGGUGAGUAACACGUGAGUAACCUGCCCUUGACUUUGGGAUAACUUCAGGAAACUGGGGCUAAUACCGGAUAGGAGCUCCUGCUGCAUGGUGGGGGUUGGAAAGUUUCGGCGGUUGGGGAUGGACUCGCGGCUUAUCAGCUUGUUGGUGGGGUAGAGGCUUACCAAGGCUUUGACGGGUAGCCGGUCUGAGAGGGUGAUCGGGCACACUGGAAGUGAGACAAGGUCCAGAGUCCUACGGGAGGGAGCAGUGGGGAAUAUUGGACAAUGGGCGGAAGGCUGAUGCAGCCAUGCCGCGUGUGUGAAGAAGGUCUUCGGAUUGUAAAGCACUUUAAGUUGGGAGGAAGGGCAGUAAGUUAAUACCUUGCUGUUUUGACGUUACCAACAGAAUAAGCACCGGCUAACUUCGUG